Molecule: ribosomal RNA, 253 nt
Filed under: uncultured bacterium
Lineage: Bacteria
Description: partial 16S ribosomal RNA
Rfam family: Bacterial small subunit ribosomal RNA
Source: RNAcentral
UACGUAGGCAGCAAGCGUUGUUCGGAGUUACUGGGCGUAAAGGGUGCGUAGGCGGUUGUUUAAGUUUGGUGUGAAAUCUCCCGGCUCAACUGGGAGGGUGCGCCGAAUACUGAAUGACUAGAGUGCGGGAGAGGAGAGUGGAAUUCCUGGUGUAGCGGUGAAAUGCGCAGAUAUCGGGAAGAACACCCGUGGCGAAGGCGGCUCUCUGGGACGGUACUGACGCUGAGACGCGAAAGCGUGGGGAGCGAACAGG